GACGAACGCUGGCGGCGUGCUUAACACAUGCAAGUCGAACGGAAAGGCCCUGCAUUUGUGGGGUGCUCGAAUAGCGAACGGGUGAGUAACACGUGAGUAACCUGCCCUGGACUAUGGGAUAACUUCAGGAAACUGGGGCUAAUAGCGGAUAGGAGCUCCUGCUGCAUGGUGGGGGUUGGAAAGUUUCGGCGGUUGGGGAUGGACUCGCGGCUUAUCAGCUUGUUGGCGUGGUAGUGGCUUACCAAGGCUUUGACGGGUAGCCGGCCUGAGGGGGUGACCGGACACAUCGGGAUGGAGCUACGGCACAGACCCCUACGGGAGGCAGCAGUGGGGAAUAGUGCACAAUGGGCGGAAGCCUGAUGCAGCACCGCCGCGUGCGGGAUGACGGCCUUCGGGUUGUAACCCGCUUUCGCCUGUGACGAAGAGUGAGUGACGGUAAUGGGUAAAGAAGCACCGGCUAACUACGUG
This 468-nucleotide ribosomal RNA is filed under the name uncultured bacterium. RNAcentral describes it as "partial 16S ribosomal RNA". It matches the Rfam family "Bacterial small subunit ribosomal RNA", at positions 28 to 507 of the family's 1533-position model. The record is from RNAcentral.